Molecule: unclassified non-coding RNA, 375 nt
Filed under: soil metagenome
Description: partial contains 5.8S ribosomal RNA, internal transcribed spacer 2, and large subunit ribosomal RNA
Rfam family: 5.8S ribosomal RNA (bases 1-120)
Source: RNAcentral
GAUGAAGAACGUAGCGAAAUGCGAUAAGUAAUGUGAAUUGCAGAAUUCAGUGAAUCAUCGAAUCUUUGAACGCACAUUGCGCCCGCCAGUAUUCUGGCGGGCAUGCCUGUUCGAGCGUCAUUUCAACCCUCAAGACCCCUUCGGGGGACUUGGUGUUGGGGACCGGCACAGGGGCCUGCCUGCUUGUCUUGCAGCGCCCUCGCCGCCCCCGAAAUGAAUUGGCGGCCUCGUCGCGGCCUCCCCUGCGUAGUAGCACAAACCUCGCAACGGGAACGUGACGGCGGCCACUGCCGUAAAACAACCCAAUUUUAUUAGAGUUGACCUCGAAUCAGGUAGGAAUACCCGCUGAACUUAAGAAUAUCAAUAAGCGGAGGA